RNAcentral lists this non-coding RNA (60 nucleotides) under uncultured Paracoccus sp. RNAcentral describes it as "terC RNA". It matches the Rfam family "terC RNA". The record is from RNAcentral. Lineage: Bacteria; Pseudomonadati; Pseudomonadota; Alphaproteobacteria; Rhodobacterales; Paracoccaceae.
GCGGGCCGGGCCCCUCUGGCGACAGGCGAUCCACGCUUUUCGUGAUGUCGGACCGCAUCG